This 510-nucleotide ribosomal RNA is filed under the name Yersinia pseudotuberculosis. RNAcentral's name for it is "bacterial SSU rRNA". It matches the Rfam family "Bacterial small subunit ribosomal RNA", at positions 1027 to 1533 of the family's 1533-position model. The record is from RNAcentral. Lineage: Bacteria; Pseudomonadati; Pseudomonadota; Gammaproteobacteria; Enterobacterales; Yersiniaceae.
CUGUGAGACAGGUGCUGCAUGGCUGUCGUCAGCUCGUGUUGUGAAAUGUUGGGUUAAGUCCCGCAACGAGCGCAACCCUUAUCCUUUGUUGCCAGCACGUAAUGGUGGGAACUCAAGGGAGACUGCCGGUGACAAACCGGAGGAAGGUGGGGAUGACGUCAAGUCAUCAUGGCCCUUACGAGUAGGGCUACACACGUGCUACAAUGGCAGAUACAAAGUGAAGCGAACUCGCGAGAGCCAGCGGACCACAUAAAGUCUGUCGUAGUCCGGAUUGGAGUCUGCAACUCGACUCCAUGAAGUCGGAAUCGCUAGUAAUCGUAGAUCAGAAUGCUACGGUGAAUACGUUCCCGGGCCUUGUACACACCGCCCGUCACACCAUGGGAGUGGGUUGCAAAAGAAGUAGGUAGCUUAACCUUCGGGAGGGCGCUUACCACUUUGUGAUUCAUGACUGGGGUGAAGUCGUAACAAGGUAACCGUAGGGGAACCUGCGGUUGGAUCACCUCCUUACCU